AAAAUCAAGGGCAUCUUGAUUUGGAACGAAUUUGAAAUAUACACAUAUCUGAAAAAGAGGGCUUUUCUCACUCCUCUCUCUCUACAUACACUCUGCAACUGCGACCUAGUAGAAAGACGACCCAAGAAGACGAUUGUUUCCGCUAAUCACACACAUAAGCGCCGCCGCAUUCUCUCUCUCAUCUGUCUCUAUUUUCUAUUUUCUCCCCCAUAUUUUCUUGCGAGGGUUUCAAUUUUGAUCUGUCCCUCGAAAGGUUUCAAAUCUCUCGACAUACGCACAAACACAUACAUAUCGAUCUGAAUCGAAUUCAUGGAGACCAUUCUCAUCGACUGUGUACAGAACAGUCUUCGUCACUUGCUGUAUCGAAACGCUAUUUUCAUCUGCGAGCGCCUAUGCGUUGAGUUUCCAUCAGAGACAAAUUUGCAAUUACUAGCUGACUGCUACUUGCACAACAAUCAAGCUUACUCCGCAUACCAUAUUUUAAAGGGAACACAAAUGGCUCAAUCCCGCUACUUGUUUGCAAUUUCAUGCUUCCAGAUGGAUCUUCUUAGCGAAGCAGAGGCAGCAUUAUGCCCUGCUAAUGAGCCUAGUGCAGAGGUUCCAAAUGGUGCAGCUGGUCACUAUCUUCUUGGGCUUAUAUACAGGUUCACUGAUAGAAGAAAAAGUGCCGUUCAUCACUUUAAGCAGGCGUUGUCGUUAGAUCCAUUGUUGUGGACUGCUUACGAAGAGCUCUGUAUAUUAGGUGCUGCUGAAGACGCAACAUCAGUUUUUGGUGACUCAGCUGCUCUUUGCAUUCAGAAGCAGCAUUUGCACCAUGGAUUGGCGGACCAGAGCUUGCCAGCAUCCAGUGAUGAUCAUAGUAUGGUUUCUGGUAGAAACUUAGGCUCAGAAGAUACCAGUCCAAGGCAAUUGAAGCAUAUGAAUGCCAAUAACCUAAGAGAUAAUGCUGUAACUUAUCAUGGAUCAGUUGCAUCGGGAGGUCCUCAUAGUCUGCCUCAAAAUGGUGGCCCUGCUAACAUGUCAUUCUUCAGUACUCCAUCACCUAUGGCCACUCAAUUGUCAGGUGUUGCUCCGCCCCCUGUAUGCAAAAAUAUGCAGCAAAACAACCCCAACCCUGGCAUGCUCGGUGUUGAUGGCUCGCCAAGGUCAACUGUGAACUCUACAAUUCAGGCCCCUCGAAGAAAGUUCGUGGAUGAAGGAAAAUUGAGAAAGAUAUCAGGGAGACUGUUUUCUGAUUCUGGACCUCGAAGAAGCACUAGACUUGCCGGUGAAACUAUGCCCAGCACAAAUUCAAGCACCAAUACUGUAGCCGGAAAUGGAACUAGCCACUCUUCUAAAUAUCUCGGUGGUUCUAAGUUUAGCUCUGUGACAUUUCGUCGUAAGGGACAACCCUGGGCUAAUGAAAAUUAUGAGGAAGGGACACGUCAAGAGGUUUAUGACGAUUCUCGUUCAAAUAAUACGACCUCUAGUUCAUCUUCGUCUGCUGAUAUUAGAACUCUUGAACAAGGAGCAGCCAUGCCAAUGGGUGGGGCUGUUAUGAGUGUAUCAAGAGUUAUAAGUGGUGCUUCAGAAAUAUUGGCUCUCCUAAAAACUCUCGGGGAAGGCUAUAGGCUUUCUUGCUUGUACAGGUGCCAGGAUGCGGUGGAUGUCUAUCUGAAACUUCCUCACAAGCAUUAUAAUACAGGCUGGGUGCUUUCCCAGGUUGGGAAAGCAUAUUUUGAAUUGGUUGAUUAUCUAGAGGCUGAUCGUGCCUUCAGUCUUGCCCGUCUGGCAUCGCCUUACAGUUUAGAAGGAAUGGAUAUAUAUUCUACAGUUCUAUAUCAUUUGAAGGAGGAUAUGAAGCUAAGUUACCUGGCUCAGGAACUGAUAUCAACUGACCGUUUAGCUCCUCAAUCUUGGUGUGCAAUGGGAAAUUGCUUUAGUUUGCAGAAAGACCAUGAAACUGCUCUUAAAAAUUUCCAGCGAGCAGUGCAACUGAAUUCCAGAUUUGCAUAUGCGCAUACCCUUUGUGGUCAUGAAUAUGUUGCCCUAGAGGAUUUUGAGAAUGGGAUUAAGAGCUACCAGAGUGCCCUCCGUUCUGAUUCGAGACACUAUAAUGCCUGGUAUGGUCUUGGAAUGAUCUACCUUCGCCAAGAGAAGUUUGAGUUCUCAGAGCAUCAUUUUCGAAUGGCUUUUCAAAUCAAUCCACGUUCUUCUGUUAUAAUGUCUUAUCUUGGGACAGCUUUCCAUGCCUUAAAGAGAAGUGAGGAAGCUUUACAGAUGAUGGAGAAGGCUAUUUUAGCAGAUAAGAAAAAUCCGCUUCCCAUGUAUCAGAAGGCUAAUAUACUAGUCAGCAUGGAAAGUUUUGAUGAAGCGUUGAUGGUCCUAGAGGAGCUUAAAGAGUAUGCCCCUCAUGAAAGCGGUGUGUAUGCCUUAAUGGGUAAGAUUUAUAAACGGCGUAACAUGUAUGACAAGGCAAUGCUUCAUUUUGGACUAGCUUUGGAUUUGAAACCACCUGCAACAGAUGUUGCUACCAUUAAGGCUGCCAUUGAGAAGUUGCAUGUACCAGAUGAGAUAGAAGAUUUGUUAUAAAUUUACUUGAGAUGAGAGUACAGAAAUACAGAGCAUGUUGUAAUUUAUUCCGCGUCAAACACUCGCCCUGAGGGGACUGGUCUGCCUGGCGGCUUUGACUAAUGGUGGAACUGGAUGACCUGAUCUUUGAGGCUUAUCAUCAUUACUGGUUCUUUUGGGGACACAUGAUCAACUAUGAACAAUACAGAUAAAGAUUGUUCUAAGAUGCCUCCUGCAGCUGGUAGAUUCUGUGACUGUGGAACUCACAGUUUUGUAGAUGCAACAUGAACUCUAUUGUCAUUAGCAAAUCUGGGCUUUUUGGACUCUGGCACAUGGCUAAGCUUUUUGUCUCCUUUAUAGCUGGAAGUUCUCCAAAAAUUAGGAAAAGCUGGAGGACUUUGUACCAUCCAUUCCGGUGUGGUAGGAAUCUGUUCAACAGCCCAAGGACUUGGAGCACAUCUUUUGUUCUUUUCGGCGUAUCCAUGUCGUAUCGUGUCUGUGUCCUUUGUUCAUAUCCAUGCUUCUUAGGUCCUAGAUAUGCAAGGUAAUAGGACAGAAAGAAUGAUAGAAGACAGAAAUUUUGAGUUUUAACAUUAUUUUACAUUAGGAAACCCUGCCCAUUAUUUAUGCUUGAAUGUGAGCUUGAAAAGGAUAAAUCAAAGAUUUUCCUUAGACAUGGUUAGAAUCAUUUCCAGUGACAUUGGUAGACCAAUUUGUUUGGAUGAACCAAUAGCCAAUUAUUAUUAUUAUUAUUUAUAUUUUUCUCCGAAAAAGCAGAAGCCAAUUAGCCUAUGCUAUAGUGUGUUUUGAGGUUUCUUUUGAUGAUAUCCUCUUGUAUUUUGAAGAGGGGAAGAAAUUUGAAAUUAGGUUUAAAAUACGCUUUAAAGCACUAAAACUUGUCACAAAUGCCAGGUAAUUGAUCACUCUUGCCGUGAGGAACCCAAACAAGAAUUUUGUAAAAUAAUAUUCCAAACAAGGGUGAUGUUUUGUUGAUAAUUCUACUGAAGAUUCAAGGGUUAAUUCUAAUUUUAAUAUGAGAUAAAAUGCACAUGGGACUGCAAAUGAACUAUGUUGUUUGCAUAUAGCUCAGGGUUGGCUCGCUUAAAGCUCAUGUUAAUAUCAUUUGCUCGCAAGCUAGCUGAUAUCAAACUUGUUAAUUAAGCUUGUUUAGUAGUCGAGUUGAGUCUGAACAAUCCAUGACUUCUCUUUAUAAUCAAAAUUUUCCCUUAUUCCUGGUCUCAAGCAUGUGUUUAAGCUCGAGCACCAUAAUGAACUUGAAUUUGAGCUUGAGAUUGGGUAAGGAGCCAGAUGAGUCGAACUUGAGCCAUCAAGCAGUGUUCGAGCUGAGCUCUAACUUCAAGUUUUGACUUGACUCGAACUCAAGUUUAAUUGUUAAGUUCUACCAGCCUAAAGUUCAGCUUAACAAGAAAAGCAAGAAAGAAAGAAAGGAUAUUAAAGGCAAAUGAAAUGUACAUCGACAUCAUUAGGGAUUCGUGAAUGAACUGCAUUAUGUUUUUUGCCAUUGAUUUGCAAUUGCCAAGAAUGAUGAAUCUGGUGGUGUGCUCUCAGCUUUGAACUCUUCGUUGUACCAAUGGGUAUCUUCUUAUACACCUUUCGACUAGAGGGGUUCUGAUAGAAGCCCCAUUUUUCACUAUAGAUUCAGCUUUUGAGAUAAUUGGUAGUCUAACAUGGUACCAAGCCUUGAUUCUGGAAGGUCUUGUGUUUUAGUCUCCUAUGCAUCUGUUUCUUUAGUUUUGGUAAUGGGAUGUGAGUAGAUCUGAUUUUGUGCACGGUCGGAUCAAAAUGCUUGUCAUGAGUUCAAGUCUCCAAGUCAAUCCCUCUUCUGCCUCUGUAUUUGCUUCCAUUUUCAAUUACAAGGUGAGGAUGAAUUGAUCAUAAAGAAGGGUUUGAAUUGUGAUAGCUUGAUAUGCGUUGUUGGGUAAGCCUGUAACUUAUGGGGCAAAGGUUGACUAUACCGUAUUAACCCUUUUUUUUUUUCCCUGUUUUUUCCUGAAUGCGUAUUAAAUCUUUGGUUCAGAGAACUUGUUGGGUUCAAAGUCUACCCAUCUCGCUGAAGUUCUAACACGUUUCUCCAAUAUGGUCAAGAUCCCCUCAAAUGUGAGAGGCUUGCUCUCCUUUUUUUAUUUUAUUUAUUUAUUUUUUAUUUUUUAUUUUUUUAUUUUUUUAUGCCUGCUGGUUCUUUUUGGCUAUAAUCUGAGGUUAUGUAAAAAGCUUUAACUUGUGUAUCUUCUCAGGUUCUCUAAAAAACUUUUGCUAGCAUUGUCUUUCGCCUUGCAUAUUGGUUUGUCAGGGUUUCUCUUUUGGUCUUUGGAUUUUUUGUGCAUGCAGGGCAUGCUUGCAGGCUCUAUUAGAUUAGGGUUUUGUGUCUUCCAACAUAAAGGAGAAAUUCUUAGUAUAUGAAUUAUGGGAUUAUUGUACAUCUCUCUCUCAUUCUGUUAAAUAUACCCCCUCCGUCCCAAAACAAGUGUCAUGUUUUCCUUUUUUGUUCGUCUCAAAAUAAGUGUCCACUUUUUUAUUUCAAACAAUAUAUUUCACGUCAUUCCAGAAAUGUCCUUUGAGUUUAAAUUUCAAACUUCAAUAUUUAAAAUUUAAAAGGGUAACAUAGUAAUUUUUUAGGCAAACAAUAUAUGGUCCCACAUGUUCCCUUAAAAAUUACUACUCUCCAUAAGUGACACUUAUAUUGGGACGGAGGGAGUAUUACGAAAAAGAGUAGUGUUACAUUUUGUCCGCAUCCUCAGGUCUUGUGAGAAGCUUUUACAAGCUUCAAGUUUAGGUGUUUCAGUUUGUAUUAGGUGUUGUCUGGUGUUGGUUUUUUUUUAAUGAUUUUGGAUAUAUUUUCGGGCUUUGAUUAGACUACUGUUUUAUAUAUUCUUUUUGGUUAUUCGGAGUAAUAUUUAGGCGUAGUAAGAAAGUUAUUCUGUUUGCUUCUUGAUAAGAGAGAACUUGAAUAUCUAUUUGCUUCCAUGCAUGGGGCUGAAAAUCAAGUUGAGCACAACGACGACAGUUCAAGCUCAGUCGAAUUUCAUUUUCAGGGGAGGUUCGAGUAAUUUCUUAAACCAGAAGAGAGGUCUCUGUAAUUAUGACUAUAGGAGACGUUCGUGUAAUUUAGCCAAAAGAAAAAAGAAAAAAUAAAAAAACACAUGAUUCCCGUGCCACCAAUACGAACACCACCACAUCAUGCAUUUUUGUCACUUUUAACAAUAACGUAAUAAUUUUUUUUCCUUGACAUUUCUCUCAAGAAAUAGACCGUAGAAAGCAUGCAAAAAAAUAUAAUUAAAAAUAAAACAUAGGCAUAUCCGAUCCCCCAAGUGCCAUUUUGGUCAUGGAAUGUGUAUUCUAUGAAGAAUUUUCUGGAUUUAUAUUCAAUGGGAGACUAAGGAAACAAGGUGGAACAGUGGUUUAUAAUAACGAGAAGAUGCACUGAAAUCUCACUUACAAUGGCAUGUUGAUAGGUCAUAUAACCGUUCUAAAAUUUGAGAAUAUGUAACAAUUUUGGAAUGGAUGCACUGAAUCUUGCAGGAGUGAAUUUUUUUUAUAUGCUAUUCUAUUUAUUAUUUUGAAGUGGAUUAAAACUUAAAAAAAAAAAAAAAAAAAAAAAAAAAUGAGAUUGCAGGUUCUGGCACUAACAAAGAUUGCAUUCAUGGAUGAAGACACACAUAAAAUGAAGGACCAUUUUAUUGAAUGAGCAAGUUCAUAGAUUUUAAUUAUCACAACCAUGUAUAAUAUAAUGCCUCAUUGAAAUCAACUGAGCACAUUAGAGAUGUAAAAAAUAAAAGAUCGGACCAUCCUAUACGAGGACAAAUGCUAUAAAGUGAGCACACCUCUAUUUGAAUUUUGAAUUGAGCGCAAAUGUUCUCGAUAAUUUUCCUAGACCUUGACCUGAAAAAACCACAGAACAAAUAUUACUAACACUAACAUGAGUAAGGAAAAUCAUUUAUAAUAUGAAACAAUAAUAUCCAUUUAUGUAAAUUUUAUAAUUAGGCUAACAGUCUUCACAUAAUCUUCAUGAACAGUGUGUUUUUCAUAUUGCUCAUGUACAUACCAAUAAGCACCCAGAAAUACCUUUUAAAAAAAAAAAAACAAAUAUCACCAAAAUGUUACUGGGCAUCAACAACGAUAAAAAUGACGGAUUUGCCAUUACAUAUUUAAAACAAUAACAAAAAAAAAAGUUUAUUUCACAAAGCCCCCUUAAACUAUAUCUGCUUCUCAUAUUGCCCAGGAGGGAGCCAUAAAUGUGAAAUUUCAGAAAAACUAGAUCGCCAAAUGUAUGAAGAAUUUGUUCCUUGGAGUACCCUAUACGUACAAACUACAAACACUAGAUUAGAAUUAGAUGGUAAGACAGGAAAAAAUAAAUAAAUAAACAGAUAAUUCUUAAUUAAAAGGCUAAUAUGAUGCAAAACAUAAUAGCACUUGAAAAACACCAAAAGGAAUAUCUAUAACAACGGCAACCAGCGAAUGCUAUCCAAACAAAAGUAUUUUGGUUAGAAUUAACAUGAACUACUAAUUUUUCAAAUAAUGAUGAUGAUUGGAAGAAAAUAAAAAAUAGCAUUAUGAAUUUUUAUGACUUUUGUUUGUCACAAGCAUAUUGCCUAACAGGUAUUAGGCCUUCCCUCUUUGUUUAAUAUUGUGAAUUUGAGCCUGAUUGUGUAUCUAACACCAUACCAGACUCUUGGCGAGAUUCCAAAAUGUUCCGGUUUUCCUUUGCCCUUUUCUGUCCUGAAAAGCAUUUGAGGGGAAAAUAUUUA
Cornus florida is the source of this 7316-nucleotide RNA transcript. It is a transcript of the gene named cell division cycle protein 27 homolog B, with no coding region annotated. Lineage: Eukaryota; Viridiplantae; Streptophyta; Magnoliopsida; Cornales; Cornaceae. The transcript is spliced from 18 exons. The record is from RefSeq and is a predicted model, not a curated record.